CAUUCUCUCAGGUCUGGGGCUCAGCCUUUCAGGAACCAAAUCUCCUGUGGCAUGUUUUGCUCUGUGCUGGCAAACACUGAGCUCAGUAAUCAGGGCUGCCAUCAUCAGCUCCUGCACCACGUGAACAUUUGUGUCUCUCCAUCAGAUUUGUGAGGAGGUUGUGGUGGCAUGGCCAGCUCUCAUGGCAGUGUUUCCAGAUAGCAGAUGGUGACAGCUCAGCGCUCUCACCCGAGGCAGCUGGGAUGGUUGGAGCAUGCCAGGGUAACUGAGUCGACUCACAGACAGGACUGUUCAGGCAGCAGAUGUGUAAGCAGAGGUCAGGGUUCGUAUGGACAAAGAACAGGGUCUGAAAAUGUUAGUAAAACCAGGUCACCGAGGGAAGUUCACCAACCAAACACAUGGUGGGGAAGCCUGGGGAAGGUGGAAAUGUUGUUGUACCUACAUGGAAGAUUUUUGAGGAGGUCACUCGCUUCUUUGCCUGCAUGAAAUCUGGACUUACUUUUGUUAUGGUAAUUUAAGAUGUUGACAUUAAGCUAACAAUAAAAUCGCAUAAAAGCAGCAGCAGCAAAACAGGCUCCUCUUUCCAACAGGGUGGACUAUUUGCAAUUUCUCCCACUUGCAGUCUCUUAAUUUUGUUCCUUUGAAAACUCCCCUGCUAACAUGAACAAUAUUAUCACCGAUGGCUCUGUACGGUGAUACACAUUAUUUCUGCCUCAGCACACGGUUAGAUGGGUCCCACAACAGGGAAGGUGAAGAAGCCAGUGGCAAAGAAGGUGCUGGAUGUCCCUGUCCCUGUUCCCUGUCCCUGA
Molecule: long non-coding RNA, 809 nt
Organism: Columba livia (rock pigeon)
Lineage: Eukaryota; Metazoa; Chordata; Aves; Columbiformes; Columbidae
Exons: 4
Source: RefSeq, a predicted model, not a curated record